Molecule: ribosomal RNA, 291 nt
Filed under: uncultured bacterium
Lineage: Bacteria
Description: partial 16S ribosomal RNA
Rfam family: Bacterial small subunit ribosomal RNA
Source: RNAcentral
GACGAACGCUGGCGGCGUGCUUAACACAUGCAAGUCGAGCGGUAAGGCCCUUUUGGGGGUACGACGAGCGGCGAACGGGUGAGUAACACGUGGGUGACCUGCCCUCAGCUCUGGGAUAAGCCUGGGAAACUGGGUCUAAUACUGGAUAUGACCUUUCCUCGCAUGGGGUUGGGGUGGAAAGUUUUUCGGCUGGGGAGUGGGCCCGCGGCCUAUCAGCUUGUUGGUGGGGUGAUGGCCUACCAAGGCGACGACGGGUAGCCGGCCUGAGAGGGCGACCGGCCACACUGGGAC